This is a non-coding RNA of Melanogaster broomeanus, 78 nucleotides long. Lineage: Eukaryota; Fungi; Basidiomycota; Agaricomycetes; Boletales; Melanogastraceae. The record is from the annotation of a GenBank genome assembly.
GCCCGCUUAGCUCAGUGGUAGUAGCGCGUCACUUGUAUGGAAAUGACGAGGUCGGUUGUUCAAUCCAGCCAGUGGGCA